CUACCAUGGGAAUCUAGCCUCCAAAGGACUACAGAAAGAAGCUGGGGGUGGCAGUGUAUGACUGUAACCUGAGCAUCCAGAGGCUGAUGCCACCCUGCACUACACAGUGAAAUGCUGUCUCAUAUACAUUAUUUAAAAAUAUUUAAUUAUUUAAAAAUAAAAGACCCUUUGAGAGGACACUUCGUGGUCACUCACAAAGUAAAGACCCUACGUCCAGACUGCAGGCCUAUUUGUUUCACUCCGAAACAAAAUUGAAAGAAAACCCUUCAAACUGCAUGUGUGAACUCACACCUAUGACCCCAGCACUGGGAAGAUAAAAACUGGAGGCUCGUCCCAUCAUGGUCAUCCUCGGCUACACAUUUCUCCCACCCAGCUUCUUGCCUGAGCAGUGUGUGGAGGUGAAGGAAGAAAAAGCUACACAGGCCUUGAAAUAUCUCUCUCUGCAAGGAAGAGCCAGGAGAGUAUCGGGGCCCAGGCAAACUUCCUCCAGGCGCCACCCAAGCCAGCAGCGCAGAAGAGGUGCACUUGCAGGCCAAACCUUUGAGAACUCCUCCUGCUGACGCCAAGCUGCACAGGAUGCCAAGAGAGCAGCAGUGCAAACAGAAACCGCGGUGCAGAUCCCUUCGUGAAAACCCAUUCGGCAGUCUGGCAAGCAGCCCUGCCCUCUGCUACUUUAUUCCCUCGAUUCAUUGACGUAGAUUCUUUCAUAUCAUAACAGCAGCUGGCCAAACCCAGCUGGAAUGUUUGGUAGCCUUCACCUCCUUCUUUUCAGGGUGAAGGUUGGAAAGA
Molecule: long non-coding RNA, 789 nt
Filed under: Mus musculus (house mouse)
Lineage: Eukaryota; Metazoa; Chordata; Mammalia; Rodentia; Muridae
Description: predicted gene, 35189
Source: RNAcentral